GAUGAACGCUGGCGGCGUGCUUAACACAUGCAAGUCGAACGGAAAGGCUCCUGCUUGCAGGGGUACUCGAGUGGCGGACGGGUGAGUAACACGUGGGUGAUCUGCCCUGCACUUCGGGAUAAGCCUGGGAAACUGGGUCUAAUACCGGAUAGGACGCUGGUUUGGAUGCCAUUGUGGAAAGUUUUUCGGUGUGGGAUGAGCUCGCGGCCUAUCAGCUUGUUGGUGGGGUAAUGGCCUACCAAGGCGUAGGCGGGUAGCCGGCCGGCGAGGGGAGACGGCCUCAUUGGGACUGAGGUACGGCCCAGACUCCUACAGGAGGCAGCAGUGGGGAAUAUGGCACAACGAUCGCAAGCCUGAUGCAGCGACGCCGCGUGGGGGAUGACGGCCUGCGGGGUGAAAACACCUGCCGCUAGAGACGAAGCGCAAGUGACGGUACCUGGAGAAGAAGCACCGGCUAACUACGUG
This 465-nucleotide ribosomal RNA is filed under the name uncultured bacterium. RNAcentral describes it as "partial 16S ribosomal RNA". It matches the Rfam family "Bacterial small subunit ribosomal RNA", at positions 28 to 507 of the family's 1533-position model. The record is from RNAcentral.